AGUUGGCGGGGUAACGGCCCACCAAACCGACGAUGGAUAGGGGUUCUGAGAGGAAGGUCCCCCACAUUGGUACUGAGACACGGACCAAACUCCUACGGGAGGCAGCAGUGAGGAAUAUUGGUCAAUGGCCGAGAGGCUGAACCAGCCAAGUCGCGUGAAGGAAGAAGGAUCUAUGGUUUGUAAACUUCUUUUAUAGGGGAAUAAAGUGGAGGACGUGUCCUUUUUUGUAUGUACCCUAUGAAUAAGCAUCGGCUAACUCCGUGCCAGCAGCCGCGGUAAUACGGAGGAUGCGAGCGUUAUCCGGAUUUAUUGGGUUUAAAGGGUGCGUAGGUGGUGAUUUAAGUCAGCGGUGAAAGUUUGUGGCUCAACCAUAAAAUUGCCGUUGAAACUGGGUUACUUGAGUGCGUUUGAGGUAGGCGGAAUGCGUGGUGUAGCGGUGAAAUGCAUAGAUAUCACGCAGAACUCCGAUUGCGAAGGCAGCUUACUAAACCAUAACUGACA
Molecule: ribosomal RNA, 501 nt
Filed under: uncultured bacterium
Lineage: Bacteria
Description: bacterial SSU rRNA
Rfam family: Bacterial small subunit ribosomal RNA
Source: RNAcentral